Long non-coding RNA from Mauremys reevesii (Reeves's turtle), 583 nucleotides. RefSeq lists it as uncharacterized. The transcript has 3 exons. Lineage: Eukaryota; Metazoa; Chordata; Testudines; Geoemydidae. The record is from RefSeq and is a predicted model, not a curated record.
ACAUCAGGAUGGUCUCACCUGUGGAGCCGGGACUUGGAGCUGCAGCUGCUCGAUGCAGAUGUCUUUCUGACAUGGAAGCAAAAGGAAGCUGCAAGAGCCAUCAUGUGCCCCUCCCCAGCAGCGUGGGCAUAUCGUUUCAGGCACCUGGAGCAUCUCGCAGAGAGUGGUGCAAAGCAGCCCUUAACCAGCUAUCUAAGGAGUCCCUCUACUUAGGAGGACUGACAAGUGGCAUGGUUCAUCAGCAGCAUCUACUCUCCCCUCCUUCUCCAGCUGACAGAAUAGAAUUUACGGGCCACAGGCAGCUGGUAUAAAGCAACAGAGCCCUGAGAAUGGGGAGGCUAGGAUCCAGCCCAAUGCAUGAAGUGAAGUUGAGGGGUUAAUAUGUUUCUCCAAGAUGGAAUUUCUGUUUAUUCAGCAGUUUUUAAACAAUUAAGAAUUUACAUCCCAAAAUUAAAACAAUGUCAAUGAAAAGUCAAGCACUGAAAAGUUUAAUUUGACAUUUCCCAGUAAUUUCCUAAAGUUGUCUGUACAAUCUUAAUUUAUCCCUUGUUGUGCAUAUGCAUUCUGAUAGUCUUUAAUUACA